UACGUAGGGUGCAAGCGUUGUCCGGAAUUAUUGGGCGUAAAGAGCUCGUAGGCGGUUUGUCGCGUCUGCUAUGAAAACCCGAGGCUCAACCUCGGGCCUGCAGUGGGUACGGGCAGACUAGAGUGCGGUAGGGGGAGAUUGGAAUUCCUGGUGUAGCGGUGGAAUGCGCAGAUAUCAGGAGGAACACCAAUGGCGAAGGCAGAUCUCUGGGCCGUAACUGACGCUGAGGAGCGAAAGCAUGGGGAGCGAACAGG
RNAcentral lists this ribosomal RNA (254 nucleotides) under uncultured bacterium. Its description in RNAcentral is "partial 16S ribosomal RNA". It matches the Rfam family "Bacterial small subunit ribosomal RNA", at positions 524 to 776 of the family's 1533-position model. The record is from RNAcentral.